RNAcentral lists this long non-coding RNA (574 nucleotides) under Mus musculus (house mouse). RNAcentral describes it as "RIKEN cDNA 1700006J14 gene". The record is from RNAcentral. Lineage: Eukaryota; Metazoa; Chordata; Mammalia; Rodentia; Muridae.
CCAACUGAUGCUGAGGUAGAAAUUGAAUGUCGGCGCCCCCUAAUCCUCCUCUGCGGACUCUUGCGAGGAUGUCUCUUCAGUCUCCUGCAACACACGGAAGGCAGGUUGUCUGUCAUGUAAACAGCCUCGAAAACCACCCUUGAAGUUUCUGUGAAAACAUUCAACAUCUUGGAAGGGGUGAGCGCCACAGGACAACGGGGUUUCCCAGGAUUCCCUCGCCCCUGCGCCACACCACACGUGGAAGAUCCCCACAGGAUGAAGAUGCUGGCCUUCUCUACGGAUGCUGUACAGGGUAUCUGACAUGAAGCCCUCUGUGAAUGAGUCAUUUGACAGCCCCACCACCACCACCACCACCACCACCACCACCACCACCACCACAAAGGAGUCAAGACCCACUAAGCCAGAGGACGAAAACAAACAAGCAAGCAAGCAACACUAACACACUCUUCCUUCAUGCUGAGCAAAUUUCCCUGUCAGGCAUUACCUGCUUUACCUUACGGUGAGAUGGCUCUCCUGGCUCGUCUGAGCUAUCCCUGGAAACUGCUGAGUGCAUUCACUUGGUCACGGACUGAAG